RNAcentral lists this ribosomal RNA (253 nucleotides) under uncultured bacterium. RNAcentral's name for it is "partial 16S ribosomal RNA". It matches the Rfam family "Bacterial small subunit ribosomal RNA", at positions 524 to 776 of the family's 1533-position model. The record is from RNAcentral.
UACGUAGGGGGCUAGCGUUGUCCGGAUUUACUGGGCGUAAAGAGCGCGUAGGCGGCUCGGUAAGUGUGAAGCUAAAUCUCUGGGCUCAACCCAGAAACUAUUUCGCAUACUGCCAAGCUGGAGUGAUGAAGAGGUUUGUGGAAUUCCUGGUGUAGCUGUGAAAUUCGUAGAUAUUCGGAGGAACAUCUGAGGCGAAGGCGAGAUUCUGGGCCACAACUGACACUGAGGCGCGACAGCGUGGGGAGCAAACAGG